CCUACGGGGGGCAGCAGUAGGGAAUAUUGCUCAAUGGGGGAAACCCUGAAGCAGCAACGCCGCGUGGAGGAUGAAGGUUUUCGGAUUGUAAACUCCUUUUGUUAGAGAAGAGAAUGACGGUAUCUAACGAAUAAGCACCGGCUAACUCCGUGCCAGCAGCCGCGGUAAUACGGAGGGUGCAAGCGUUACUCGGAAUCACUGGGCGUAAAGAGCGCGUAGGCGGGAUAGCAAGUCAGAUGUGAAAUCCUAUGGCUUAACCAUAGAACUGCAUUUGAAACUGUUAUUCUAGAGUAUGGGAGAGGUAGGUGGAAUUCUUGUUGUAGGUGUUCCAUCCGUCGAGAUCACGUGGAAUACUCAUUGCGAAGGCGACCUGCUAGAACAUACCUGACGCUGAUGCGCGACAGCGUGGGGAGCAAACAGGAUUAGAUACCCUUGUAGUC
Molecule: ribosomal RNA, 440 nt
Filed under: uncultured bacterium
Lineage: Bacteria
Description: partial 16S ribosomal RNA
Rfam family: Bacterial small subunit ribosomal RNA
Source: RNAcentral